AAUGAUGAAAAGCAACUCACAAGUUGACAAUAUCAAAUGAUUAGUUUUUAAUUUUUUAUACAGGUAUAUUUAUGCAUUACACCGAAGCAUGCCUUAGAAAUCACGUUUUCAAAAUAAUAAUUCCAAGUGAUGAAUUAUUGGAAAACAUUUCAGAAACAAAAGCCGUGCAUGUGGAAUUAACAAGCACCUUGGCUGGCAGUGAGGCACUUCAAGAAGGAGAAAAGAAUCUGAAUCCUUCUUGCAUGAGAGACCAAGCAAUAGAUCAUCUUAUAAACAGUGAAGAGGCGAGCUUUCUCAUCAGGUUUGAAUACUGCUAUCACUGACCGCAGCGUCCCCUAGCGCCCGAGGCAGGACAAACCAGUGCAGCUGAACUCACCUGCAUCAGCUUGGCCUCCCUCCUGCUACGUGGAGCAAGGAUAUCAGCUCUGUGGCAACUUUUCAUCGCUGGUAAAAAGUAGAUAGUUUCCUUGGGAAAUAGUUUUUGCUGAAAAUAAUGAAGAAUAUUUCAUCAGUAUGGUGAUGCAUAUUGAAAACAUGAAUUUAUUACUAAAUUAUCACUAUAUAUGGUGGAAUUAUAAUUUUUAAA
This 586-nucleotide long non-coding RNA is filed under the name Chinchilla lanigera (long-tailed chinchilla). RNAcentral's name for it is "lncRNA (ENSCLAG00000025253.1)". Lineage: Eukaryota; Metazoa; Chordata; Mammalia; Rodentia; Chinchillidae. The record is from RNAcentral.